AUGGUGCUAAAACUGGAUUUCAGAAAAGCUUUCGACUCUGUGUCUUGGCAUGCCCUUCUCCUCAUCCUGCGGCAUUGGGGAUUCCCCAGCCGUUUUUGCUCCUGGAUUUCAGACUUGCUUACCUCUGGCAAAACGGCUGUCAUGCUUAACGGUGUUCAGGGUGAUUGGAUUAACUGCAAAAACGGCCUGCGCCAAGGCGACCCCGUGUCCCCUACCUUUUCAUCAUUGUUGCAGAUGUUCUUCAGCAGCUCAUUCUAA
This 258-nucleotide ribosomal RNA is filed under the name Triticum aestivum (bread wheat). RNAcentral's name for it is "partial small subunit ribosomal RNA". The record is from RNAcentral. Lineage: Eukaryota; Viridiplantae; Streptophyta; Magnoliopsida; Poales; Poaceae.